Molecule: long non-coding RNA, 1148 nt
Filed under: Eucalyptus grandis
Lineage: Eukaryota; Viridiplantae; Streptophyta; Magnoliopsida; Myrtales; Myrtaceae
Description: long non-coding RNA (EGRA_LNC006585)
Source: RNAcentral
CUUUCGUUCGUGCUCUCGGCGUCUCACCCUUCUCUCCGGCGCCUCCCACUUCGGCAGACUCUCCGGUGACUCCCCACUCCGGCGACUCUCCGGCGCCGAAAAAUGGUGCUCCUUCACUAGCUGAAGAUUCCGAAUCCAGGUAAGAGCCACCUGCUGCUGCUCCUCCAUCUCCGUUCGAAGAGGGCUUCGGCGAGAGCCACUUUCGCUGACAGCCGGGACGGUCGCUACAGCGACAGCUCGCUCCAGCCUCAAGCGAGCGUUGCUCGCCUAGAUCUGCGGCAGAUCUGGGCGACGGCCGCUCGCUGGAGGUGCUCUGCCGAGCUGGAGCUGCUGUGGUCGCUCGACAGAGCAGUUUGGGUCGCUCGAGCGGCAGAGCAGCCUCUCUACCAGCUCAAGCGACUGACGCCGAGCCCCAAGCGAGCCGUCGCCCAGAUCUGCCAGAUCUGGGCGACAGCUGCUCGGUGGAGCUGCUUUGCUCGCUCGGCAGAGCAGCACAGCGACGCGCUGCCAGCUCGCUCGAGCGUGGCUGCUCUGCCGAGCGAGCAGAGCAGCGCAGCUCGGUCGAGCAAGCUGCUCUGCAGCAGCUCGCUCAACCGUGGCUCGCUCGGAGUAGCUCGCUCGAUCGUCGCUCACUCGGAGCAGCUCGCUCGAGCGUGGCUGCUCUGCCGAGCGAGCAUAGCAGUGGAGCAGUGCUCGCUCGAGCGAGACUAAAUGAUUUAGGCAUUUUUCCCUUCCAUCUCUCCUUCUGCUCGCCAACUGUGCCCUCACACAUUCUCUCUCUCUCUCUCUUCCUCAGCUUCGAUUUUUCGAGCGAUUCCGUCGGAUUUGCCCGAGAAAAUUUGUCCAAUCAGGUAACACUUUCGUCUCCCCCUCAACUGUUUCCGCUUCCCCUCAUCUCUCUUUUCUCUAUUUCUUUUCGUCUCCUUUGACCCGCGAAAAUGCAGGCUGCAGGAAGAGCUCUCGCGUCGGGCCCCGUUCGAUUCAUCUCCGGCUCGUUCUCGAGGGAGUCCGUGGAGGGCUAAGUGAAAGCGCGCUCCUUCCCGUGGUACAUUCGAUCUCGAGGUGGUAGUAAUCCGAAUCUCAGAGUCUGCAGCGCGCCGCGUCAGCUUCAAUAGGACCCUGGACUUUGCACUUGUUCCGCGGCGAGC